RNAcentral lists this ribosomal RNA (459 nucleotides) under uncultured bacterium. RNAcentral's name for it is "partial 16S ribosomal RNA". It matches the Rfam family "Bacterial small subunit ribosomal RNA", at positions 339 to 795 of the family's 1533-position model. The record is from RNAcentral.
CUACGGGGCGCUCCAGUGAGGAAUAUUGGACAAUGGUCGAAAGACUGAUCCAGCCAUGCCGCGUGCAGGAUGACUGCCCUAUGGGUUGUAAACUGCUUUUAUACGGGAAGAAAAACACCUACGUGUAGGUGACUGACGGUACCGUAAGAAUAAGGACCGGCUAACUCCGUGCCAGCAGCCGCGGUAAUACGGAGGGUCCAAGCGUUAUCCGGAAUCAUUGGGUUUAAAGGGUCCGUAGGCGGGCUAUUAAGUCAGAGGUGAAAGUUUGCAGCUCAACUGUAAAAUUGCCUUUGAUACUGAUAGUCUUGAAUUGUAGUGAAGUGGUUAGAAUAUGUGGUGUAGCGGUGAAAUGCAUAGAUAUCACAUAGAAUACCGAUUGCGAAGGCAGAUCACUAACUAUAUAUUGACGCUGAUGGACGAAAGCGUGGGGAGCGAACGGGAUUAGAUACCCCUGUAGUC